This 460-nucleotide ribosomal RNA is filed under the name uncultured bacterium. RNAcentral describes it as "partial 16S ribosomal RNA". It matches the Rfam family "Bacterial small subunit ribosomal RNA", at positions 338 to 795 of the family's 1533-position model. The record is from RNAcentral.
CCUACGGGAGGCAGCAGUGAGGAAUAUUGGUCAAUGGCCGGAAGGCUGAACCAGCCAUGCCGCGUGAAGGUCAGUGCCCUAUGGGCGUUAAACUUCUUUUGUGCGGGAGCAAUAAUGGUCACGUGUGGCCAGACGAGAGUACCGUACGAAUAAGCAUCGGCUAACUCCGUGCCAGCAGCCGCGGUAAUACGGGGGAUGCAAGCGUUAUCCGGAUUUAUUGGGUUUAAAGGGUGCGUAGGCUGUGAGGUAAGUCAGCGGUGAAAUGCCCCCGCUCAACGGGGUGAAGUGCCAUUGAUACUGCCUUGCUGGAAUGCGGAUGCCGUGGGAGGAAUGUGUGGUGUAGCGGUGAAAUGCAUAGAGAGCACACAGAACACCGAUUGCGAAGGCAGCUCACGAAUCCGCGAUUGACGCUGAUGCACGAAAGCGUGGGUAUCAAACAGGAUUAGAUACCCCUGUAGUC